Molecule: ribosomal RNA, 383 nt
Filed under: uncultured bacterium
Lineage: Bacteria
Description: bacterial SSU rRNA
Rfam family: Bacterial small subunit ribosomal RNA
Source: RNAcentral
AUUGAACGCUGGCGGCAUGCUUUACACAUGCAAGUCGAACGGUAACAGGGAGCUUGCUCCGCUGACGAGUGGCGAACGGGUGAGUAAUGCAUCGGAACGUACCCAGUCGUGGGGGAUAACGUAGCGAAAGUUACGCUAAUACCGCAUACGUCCUGAGGGAGAAAGCGGGGACCGUAAGGCCUCGCGCGAUUGGAGCGGCCGAUGUCGGAUUAGCUAGUUGGUAGGGUAAAGGCCUACCAAGGCGACGAUCCGUAGCGGGUCUGAGAGGAUGAUCCGCCACACUGGGACUGAGACACGGCCCAGACUCCUACGGGAGGCAGCAGUGGGGAAUUUUGGACAAUGGGCGAAAGCCUGAUCCAGCCAUGCCGCGUGAGUGAAGAAGG